CGCGCGCCCGGGGCGGGGACCCGCUCCCCUUGCUGGGCGCUCCCUCGCGGCGCAGUGCAGUGCCGGGGCCGCGGGCAGGGAGCCCCCAGGCAAGACUUCAGGUCGUUACUAGCUUUGAAGUAAGACUUUUCCUGUCCCCUGCCCCUGAGCCUCGGGGGCCCGGACUCUCCCUGACCGCAGAGCUAUGGGUCACCCAAAUCCGGCGCUGGCCUGGCUCUACCAAGUCCGCUGCUCGCCGGCCAGAGUGUGGGCGUCCUUCCUCCGGAGCCUCGCCAAAGCUGGCGUGGCGCUUCUCCGCUGACAGCUCUCCUCACUUCACAGUCUUUGGGUAUUUAAAGUCAUCGUGGUAACCCAUCCCCUGAUCUGGAUGCCUUUAAUUUUCUUAUGAAUUUACUGCGCUAGAGACGUUCAUUCCUUAAAACGCAUUGACUGGGGUCGCGCUUGGCUCAGGGCGCUGUCCCAGGCUCCUUGUCGCCCAAGUAUCCCAAAGCUCCCAUCCCUGCCCGCGCGGCCGGGUCAGUGAGCCCGCGCUGUUUGGAGGACGCCCAAAGAUUGCUGCCAGCGAGGAAGGCAUUCGGGCUCCCGACUGGAGUUCCAGGUCCUGGAAGAACGACUGGGAGUUGAAAGGUUACGCUCCAGGCCGGGGCUCCAUCGCGCGUUUGCAACCAUCAGACAGAGGGCCCAGACAGGAUCUUCCUAAGACGGACUGCCUCAGCCCCCAUAGCUAAGCUGUGAAAACACUCUCAGUUUUAGGAGCAGAAUGGAAGUCACUCCAUCAGAAUAAAGCGUUUGUGGAGCUACGCUGGCGAUUCCUAAAACCCUGAAAAUCCUCUCUCAGGACGGCGAAUUGAGGUUGUUCUCUCCGUGCACAUUUGCGCAGUAGAAAUGGAUGGCUGGUUCGCUGAUCUGUCCGCAGCAGCAAAAAAAAAAAAUCUUUAACAAGGGAACUUGAAAGGUCCAACUUCAGGCACAUGUGGAUUCAGAGGUUCCAGUGAUGUCAGAAGUAGAGCUAGAGUCUCAGCAUUGCCCACCCCCUCCUCUCCUCUCUGCUUUCUUCUGUGGGCUUCCUUGUUAAGGUGACUGACUUAACACCGUGGUACCUGGCAGCUCCAGGAUUAUCUUCUCCUCAGGGGUCAGGAUCUAAGAAUGAGGUUUGGCAUUUGAAGAUGAUUUGGGUCACAAUGAGCCUGCAAAAAGAGGACUUAAAAUGCUACCUCUUUGAUUACUCCAUCCUGAGCUGUCAUCCAGAAAAUUUUACUGAGUUUCAGCAAUAUGCAUCCCUUCUUUUGCCCCUCAUGAUUCACAGGAAGUGCUUGUUUUUCCAUUUUCUGCAUGAUUUUGACCACUGUAAGAGUUUUAAUGGAUUCUUCCUUUACCAAGAAGAGCUCAUUGACUUUCGUGCACUCAAGGAAAUGUAUCAUGUCUUCUUUUAAAACAUGAAUCAGACAGUCCAUUUCUUAGCCAGAAGAUUGAUGAGUUUAUACUGGCAAGGAAAGGAUAUGUCCUGA
RNAcentral lists this long non-coding RNA (1508 nucleotides) under Equus asinus (donkey). Its description in RNAcentral is "lncRNA (ENSEASG00005036477.1)". The record is from RNAcentral. Lineage: Eukaryota; Metazoa; Chordata; Mammalia; Perissodactyla; Equidae.